GACGACCGGCGCACGGGUGCGUAACGCGUAUAGAAUCUACCUUGUACUGAGGAAUAGCCUUUGGAAACGAAGAUUAAUGCCUCAUAGUAUAUCGGUUCGGCAUCGAGUUGAUAUUAAAGAUUACGGUAUAAGAUGACUAUGCGUUCUAUUAGCUAGAUGGUGUGGUAACGGCACACCAUGGCGACGAUAGAUAGGGGCCCUGAGAGGGGGAUCCCCCACACUGGUACUGAGACACGGACCAGACUCCUACGGGAGGCAGCAGUGAGGAAUAUUGGACAAUGGAGGCAACUCUGAUCCAGCCAUGCCGCGUGCAGGAAGACUGCCCUAUGGGUUGUAAACUGCUUUUAUACAGGAAGAAACACCUCUACGUGUAGAGACUUGACGGUACUGUAAGAAUAAGGAUCGGCUAACUCCGUGCCAGCAGCCGCGGUAAUACGGAGGAUCCAAGCGUUAUCCGGAAUCAUUGGGUUUAAAGGGUCCGUAGGUGGAUAAUUAAGUCAGAGGUGAAAUCCUGCAGCUCAACUGUAGAAUUGCCUUUGAUACUGGUUAUCUUGAGUUAUUAUGAAGUAGUUAGAAUAUGUAGUGUAGCGGUGAAAUGCAUAGAUAUUACAUAGAAUACCAAUUGCGAAGGCAGAUUACUAAUAAUCAACUGACACUGAUGGACGAAAGCGUGGGGAGCGAACAGGAUUAGAUACCCUGGUAGUCCACGCCGUAAACGAUGGUCACUAGCUGUUCGAACUUCGGUUUGAGUGGCUAAGCGAAAGUGAUAAGUGACCCACCUGGGGAGUACGUUCGCAAGAAUGAAACUCAAAGGAAUUGACGGGGGCCCGCACAAGCGGUGGAGCAUGUGGUUUAAUUCGAUGAUACGCGAGGAACCUUACCAGGGCUUAAAUGUAAAUUGACAGGUUUAGAGAUAGACUUUUCUUCGGACAAUUUACAAGGUGCUGCAUGGUUGUCGUCAGCUC
RNAcentral lists this ribosomal RNA (965 nucleotides) under Lacinutrix algicola. RNAcentral describes it as "bacterial SSU rRNA". It matches the Rfam family "Bacterial small subunit ribosomal RNA", at positions 90 to 1061 of the family's 1533-position model. Lineage: Bacteria; Pseudomonadati; Bacteroidota; Flavobacteriia; Flavobacteriales; Flavobacteriaceae. The record is from RNAcentral.